Molecule: ribosomal RNA, 459 nt
Filed under: uncultured bacterium
Lineage: Bacteria
Description: partial 16S ribosomal RNA
Rfam family: Bacterial small subunit ribosomal RNA
Source: RNAcentral
CCUACGGGAGGCAGCAGUGAGGAAUAUUGGUCAAUGGGAGAGAUCCUGAACCAGCCAAGCCGCGUGCGGGAAGACGGCCCUAUGGGUUGUAAACCUCUUUUGUCGGAGAACAAAACCCGGGACGUGUCCCGGACUGCGUGUAUCCGAAGAAAAAGCAUCGGCUAACUCCGUGCCAGCAGCCGCGGUAAUACGGAGGAUGCGAGCGUUAUCCGGAUUUAUUGGGUUUAAAGGGUGCGUAGGCGGUCCGGUAAGUCAGCGGGAAAAUUGCGGGGCUCAACCCCGGCGAGCCGUUGAAACUGGCAGACUUGAGUUGGCGAGAAGUACGCGGAAUGCGCGGUGUAGCGGUGAAAUGCAUAGAUAUCGCGCAGAACUCCGAUUGCGAAGGCAGCGUACCGGCGCCAGACUGACGCUGAGGCACGAGAGCGUGGGGAUCGAACAGGAUUAGAUACCCGGGUAGUC